CAUCCCUCAAAAUGUUAUUUAAAAAGGAAAAAAAUAAAAAGCAAAUGAGAGCUUAAUAGAUCAGAGGGAAGGAAAUAAAACUUUGAGCAUUCAUUUAUGUUGCAGGGAAAGCUGGAUGAAAGAAGACACUUGUGUGACUGCUGCUUGCCCUUCCAGUGCAUUGCAGCAACCUAACUGCCACAUGAUGCUGCUUUUCCCUGGGACCUCCUGAAAUCCAAGCAGGCAGGAACCGGAAUGGGAAGCGUGCUGCCUUCAGCCAAAGUCACACAGAAAGUCAAGGCAUCGAGACCUUCAUUCAAGUCUGGCUGCCUCCAAAGUCCACAUUGUGACCUCUGGGUGCCAUUACUCCAGAAAGGCGGAGUGCUGCAGCUCUCGCUUACAUCAAGGGAAGAAGGCGGAAGGGCUGUUCCAGUGUAUCCAUCUCCUUCUGUCAUGAAAAGCAGAAGCCUUCCCAGAAGCCCUCCUAACUUCCGUUUAGAUCUCUUUGGCCAGAAGUGUGUCUCGCGGUCCCUUCCGGGUGGAAGGGAGGUUGUGAAAGCUAGUCCCUUUUGUCCUGUGUUCCCCAAGCACAUCUGAGAUUUAGGAGCAAGAAAGGCCUGAAAGCUGCCUUGGGGACUGAGAGCUGGGGUAUAAGGGAAGGUAAUGCUUUUAAAAAGGAAGUUAGGGAUCGAUGACGACAAAAGGGGGUGUUGCAGAAACCAAGCACCAGACUCGCAGAGUUGAACUCAGGUUUACUAUGCCGGCAGGCCCAGAGGAGUUAACAGUCCAGGCUCUGAGCCCUAAACAAAGGGGUUACAGAGUUUUAAUAGACCUACUCUAGUGGGCAACACGAAUAGGCUGGUUUAAACUAAGGGGUUUCACGCUCUCAGGAACAGCAGUCAAGACGGGGAGGGGGAUGCCUGACCUUCACAUGGACAGGCAAGAUUAAGCAGGUUUGCAGGGGCUGGGCGGCUGCAAAGAGCAGGACAAGGUGAGUGAGAUAAGCUCCAGUUCCUAGUAUUGCAAGUCCCCGCUUUCUGAGACUACAUGACCUGUGUGAUCCGGACUUUUCAAGGAGCAAGCUGAGUUACAGAGGCUGAAAGAGCAGGAGAUUAUGUAAAAUUUUAACUUUUCCUCUUCGGGAGGAAGGGGUACCAGGUGGAGGAAAACAGACCCAAUCUGUUUCUUACACUUGUUUAUUGCAAUUAUCCCAAUUGCUAUUACAAUCCCUAAUCCACUACUUCUGGCUCUAAAAGUCUUUGUUCUUAAGGGCAUACAUUAAAAAAAAAUUAUCUCUGAGUAUAAAUGUGCUGUGCUUAGUCACUCAGUCAUGUCCUACUCUUCGUGACCCCACGGACUGUAGCCCACCAGGCUCCUCUGUCCGUGGAAUUCUCCAGGCCAGAAUACUGGAGUGGGCUGCCAGUUCCUCCUCCAGGGGAUCUUCUGAACCCACAGAUCGAACCCAGGUGUCCUGCAUUGCAGGUGGAUUCUGCACCAGGUGAGUACCAGGGAGCAUAACUAAAAUGAUAUAAUAAGAAUAACAUCUCAAAGGAAUUCUAGAAGUAAGAUCAAUGGCAACUUAUUUUUAAAAUAACAC
Molecule: long non-coding RNA, 1576 nt
Organism: Bos indicus x Bos taurus (hybrid cattle)
Lineage: Eukaryota; Metazoa; Chordata; Mammalia; Artiodactyla; Bovidae
Source: Ensembl